This 200-nucleotide ribosomal RNA is filed under the name uncultured bacterium. RNAcentral describes it as "partial 16S ribosomal RNA". It matches the Rfam family "Bacterial small subunit ribosomal RNA", at positions 8 to 202 of the family's 1533-position model. The record is from RNAcentral.
AGAGUUUGAUCAUGGCUCAGGAUGAACGCUAGCGGCAGGCUUAACACAUGCAAGUCGAGGGGCAGCGAGGGUAGCAAUACCUGUCGGCGACCGGCGCAAGGGUGCGUAACGCGUGAGCAACAUGCCCAUAACAGGAGGAUAACCCGGAGAAAUCCGGACUAAUACUCCAUAGCAAGUAGGAAUCGCAUGGUUUUUACUUU